This 308-nucleotide long non-coding RNA is filed under the name Capsella rubella. Its description in RNAcentral is "long non-coding RNA (CRUB_LNC001701)". Lineage: Eukaryota; Viridiplantae; Streptophyta; Magnoliopsida; Brassicales; Brassicaceae. The record is from RNAcentral.
AAAAUUAUAAAGUUUAUAUAGUUUAUAGAAUACUUCUAGAUAAUAAGUAUUAUUUGGAGACUCGAUUGAAAUAUUUAUAAAAUUUUAAAAGAGGUUUUUUUUUAAUUAUUUUUUUUAACAUCAAACUAGAAUCAGCUCAUGAGAGCCAGUUAUUUCAAAAGAAGUUUACAAUGUUUUUAAAAGGUUUUAAAAGUUAUUUAUACGGUAUUUAUAAAAUCUUAUAGAUAUAAGAUAUUUAUAAAACAUAUAUAAUUUUACACACAUAUAAAUGUAAUUUGAAAAUGGGGUAUUUUGAAAAUGAGGUAUUU